UUGUUAUCGCAGGCUCAAUUAAAUUGAACACGUUUUGUAUUUUCGAAAAUCACAAGGAAUAGGGGUGAAAAUGUCGGGUCGGGAAGGAGGAAAGAAAAAACCACUCAAACAGCCCAAGAAAGAAAAGAAGGAACUGGAUGAGGAUGAGGUGGCACAUCAGCAGAAGAUGAAGGCUGAUAAAAAGGCACUGGAACAAGCAAAGGCUAAAGCAGCUCAGAAAGGACCAAUGGGUGGAAGUGGUAUAAAAAAAUCUGGAAAGAAAUGACAUUGGAUUAUUUAUCCUGCACAAAGUCCAAAACAAGGAUCUCCCAGUUUUGCAAAGGCCUUGUACAGAACUUGUAUAUCCUGUAAUAGUUUAGGCAAUGGCAAUCAUUUAGUUAGUAACCAAGUUAUAGAUAAACACGAUUUUCAUUUCUAAAAUGUUUUUUCUUUAAUCCCCUAUGAUAAAUACAAUUAUUAUUAUCAUA
This is a long non-coding RNA of Pocillopora damicornis (cauliflower coral), 467 nucleotides long. Lineage: Eukaryota; Metazoa; Cnidaria; Anthozoa; Scleractinia; Pocilloporidae. The record is from RefSeq and is a predicted model, not a curated record.